GGCGUUGAGAUGGUUCAGGGCCCUGUUCAAACUCCAGCACUGACCAUUCACCGGCGGAAGCGGCGGCGCAGGAGGCGGCGGCGGCCCAGCGGGGGCACACAGCAGGCUCUGUUACCAGCUCCAGCAGUGGCGGCCAGCGAGAAGAGAAUAUGAAACUGGUGUCAAAAUGACAUCCAGAUUUGGGAAAACAUACAGUAGGAAAGGUGGAAAUGGCAGUUCAAAAUUCGAUGAAGUCUUUUCCAACAAACGGACUACCCUUAGCACAAA
Molecule: long non-coding RNA, 267 nt
Filed under: Homo sapiens (human)
Lineage: Eukaryota; Metazoa; Chordata; Mammalia; Primates; Hominidae
Description: non-protein coding lnc-GRID1-8:2
Source: RNAcentral